GAUGAACGCUGGCGGCGUGCCUAAUACAUGCAAGUCGAGCGAACAGACGAGGAGCUUGCUCCUCUGACGUUAGCGGCGGACGGGUGAGUAACACGUGGAUAACCUACCUAUAAGACUGGGAUAACUUCGGGAAACCGGAGCUAAUACCGGAUAAUAUAUUGAACCGCAUGGUUCAAUAGUGAAAGACGGUUUUGCUGUCACUUAUAGAUGGAUCCGCGCCGCAUUAGCUAGUUGGUAAGGUAACGGCUUACCAAGGCAACGAUGCGUAGCCGACCUGAGAGGGUGAUCGGCCACACUGGAACUGAGACACGGUCCAGACUCCUACGGGAGGCAGCAGUAGGGAAUCUUCCGCAAUGGGCGAAAGCCUGACGGAGCAACGCCGCGUGAGUGAUGAAGGUCUUCGGAUCGUAAAACUCUGUUAUUAGGGAAGAACAAAUGUGUAAGUAACUAUGCACGUAUUGACGUUACCUAAUCAGAAAGCCACGGCUAACUACGUG
RNAcentral lists this ribosomal RNA (497 nucleotides) under uncultured bacterium. RNAcentral's name for it is "partial 16S ribosomal RNA". It matches the Rfam family "Bacterial small subunit ribosomal RNA", at positions 28 to 507 of the family's 1533-position model. The record is from RNAcentral.